RNAcentral lists this ribosomal RNA (711 nucleotides) under Staphylococcus sp. KSUM_40. RNAcentral describes it as "bacterial SSU rRNA". It matches the Rfam family "Bacterial small subunit ribosomal RNA", at positions 28 to 721 of the family's 1533-position model. Lineage: Bacteria; Bacillati; Bacillota; Bacilli; Caryophanales; Staphylococcaceae. The record is from RNAcentral.
GAUGAACGCUGGCGGCGUGCCUAAUACAUGCAAGUCGAGCGAACAGACGAGGAGCUUGCUCCUUUGACGUUAGCGGCGGACGGGUGAGUAACACGUAGGUAACCUACCUAUAAGACUGGGAUAACUUCGGGAAACCGGAGCUAAUACCGGAUAAUAUUUCGAACCGCAUGGUUCGAUAGUGAAAGAUGGCUUUGCUAUCACUUAUAGAUGGACCUGCGCCGUAUUAGCUAGUUGGUAAGGUAACGGCUUACCAAGGCAACGAUACGUAGCCGACCUGAGAGGGUGAUCGGCCACACUGGAACUGAGACACGGUCCAGACUCCUACGGGAGGCAGCAGUAGGGAAUCUUCCGCAAUGGGCGAAAGCCUGACGGAGCAACGCCGCGUGAGUGAUGAAGGUCUUCGGAUCGUAAAACUCUGUUAUUAGGGAAGAACAAACGUGUAAGUAACUGUGCACGUCUUGACGGUACCUAAUCAGAAAGCCACGGCUAACUACGUGCCAGCAGCCGCGGUAAUACGUAGGUGGCAAGCGUUAUCCGGAAUUAUUGGGCGUAAAGCGCGCGUAGGCGGUUUUUUAAGUCUGAUGUGAAAGCCCACGGCUCAACCGUGGAGGGUCAUUGGAAACUGGAAAACUUGAGUGCAGAAGAGGAAAGUGGAAUUCCAUGUGUAGCGGUGAAAUGCGCAGAGAUAUGGAGGAACACCAGUGGCGAAGG